RNAcentral lists this unclassified non-coding RNA (253 nucleotides) under uncultured Oceanospirillales bacterium. RNAcentral's name for it is "contains 16S-23S intergenic spacer region". It matches the Rfam family "Bacterial small subunit ribosomal RNA", at positions 524 to 776 of the family's 1533-position model. Lineage: Bacteria; Pseudomonadati; Pseudomonadota; Gammaproteobacteria; Oceanospirillales. The record is from RNAcentral.
UACGGAGGGUGCAAGCGUUAAUCGGAAUUACUGGGCGUAAAGCGCGCGUAGGUGGUGAAGUCAGUCAGAUGUGAAAGCCCAGGGCUUAACCUUGGAAUUGCACCUGAUACUGCUUCGCUAGAGUAUGGUAGAGGGGUGUGGAAUUUCCUGUGUAGCGGUGAAAUGCGUAGAUAUAGGAAGGAACACCAGUGGCGAAGGCGACCACCUGGACUGAUACUGACACUGAGGUGCGAAAGCGUGGGUAGCAAACAGG